This 253-nucleotide ribosomal RNA is filed under the name uncultured bacterium. RNAcentral describes it as "partial 16S ribosomal RNA". It matches the Rfam family "Bacterial small subunit ribosomal RNA", at positions 524 to 776 of the family's 1533-position model. The record is from RNAcentral.
UACGGGGGGGGCAAGCGUUGUUCGGAAUUACUGGGCGUAAAGGGCUCGUAGGCGGCCAACUAAGUCAGACGUGAAAUCCCUCGGCUUAACCGGGGAACUGCGUCUGAUACUGGAUGGCUUGAAUCCGGGAGAGGGAUGCAGAAUUCCAGGUGUAGCGGUGAAAUGCGUAGAUAUCUGGAGGAAUACCGGUGGCGAAGGCGGCAUCCUGGACCGGCAUUGACGCUGAGGAGCGAAAGCCAGGGGAGCAAACGGG